CGUAGGCAGCAAGCGUUGUUCGGAGUUACUGGGCGUAAAGGGUGUGUAGGCGGUUAUUUAAGUUUGGUGUGAAAUCUCCCGGCUCAACCGGGAGGGUGCGCCGAAUACUGAAUGACUUGGAGUGCGGGAGAGGAAAGUGGAAUUCCUGGUGUAGCGGUGAAAUGCGUAGAUAUCAGGAGGAACACCGGUGGUGUAGACGGCUUUCUGGACCGUAACUGACGCUGAGACACGAAAGCGUGGGUAGCAAACAGGAUUAGAUACCCUGGUAGUCCACGCCCUAAACGAUGCAUAUUUGGUGUGGGCAGUUCAUUCUGUCCGUGCCGGAGCUAACGCGUUAAAUAUGCCGCCUGGGGAGUACAGUCGCAAGGCUG
This 371-nucleotide ribosomal RNA is filed under the name uncultured organism. RNAcentral describes it as "bacterial SSU rRNA". It matches the Rfam family "Bacterial small subunit ribosomal RNA", at positions 526 to 896 of the family's 1533-position model. The record is from RNAcentral.